CAGUAGCCGCGGGAAUACGAAGGGGGCUAGCGUUGCUCGGAAUGACUGGGCGUAAAGGGCGCGUAGGCGGCGAUCAAAGUCAGAUGUGAAAUCCCCGGGCUUAACCUGGGAACUGCAUUUGUGACUGGCGAGCUAGAGUAUGGCAGAGGGGGGUAGAAUUCCACGUGUAGCAGUGAAAUGCGUAGAGAUGUGGAGGAAUACCGAUGGCGAAGGCAGCCCCCUGGGCCAAUACUGACGCUCAUGCACGAAAGCGUGGGGAGCAAACAGGAUUAGAUACCCCGGUAGUCCCUGUCUCUUAUCC
This 301-nucleotide ribosomal RNA is filed under the name uncultured bacterium. Its description in RNAcentral is "partial 16S ribosomal RNA". It matches the Rfam family "Bacterial small subunit ribosomal RNA", at positions 509 to 809 of the family's 1533-position model. The record is from RNAcentral.